This 292-nucleotide ribosomal RNA is filed under the name uncultured bacterium. Its description in RNAcentral is "partial 16S ribosomal RNA". It matches the Rfam family "Bacterial small subunit ribosomal RNA", at positions 505 to 796 of the family's 1533-position model. The record is from RNAcentral.
GUUCCAGCAGCCGCGGUAAGACGAACCAUCCAAACGUUAUUCGGAAUUACUGGGCUUAAAGGGUGCGUAGGCUGCGCAGAAAGUUGGGUGUGAAAUCCCUCGGCUUAACCGAGGAACUGCGCCCAAAACUACUGUGCUUGAGGGAGACAGAGGUGAGCGGAACUUAGGGUGGAGCGGUGAAAUGCGUUGAUAUCCUAAGGAACACCCGUGGCGAAAGCGGCUCACUGGGUCUCUUCUGACGCUGAUGCACGAAAGCUAGGGGAGCGAACGGGAUUAGAAACCCCGGUAGUCC